RNAcentral lists this ribosomal RNA (570 nucleotides) under uncultured bacterium. RNAcentral's name for it is "partial 16S ribosomal RNA". It matches the Rfam family "Bacterial small subunit ribosomal RNA", at positions 355 to 918 of the family's 1533-position model. The record is from RNAcentral.
CGGGGAAUUUUGGACAAUGGGCGAAAGCCUGAUCCAGCAAUGCCGCGUGUGUGAAGAAGGCCUUCGGGUUGUAAAGCACUUUUGUCCGGAAAGAAAUCCUUGGCUCUAAUACAGUCGGGGGAUGACGGUACCGGAAGAAUAAGCACCGGCUAACUACGUGCCAGCAGCCGCGGUAAUACGUAGGGUGCAAGCGUUAAUCGGAAUUACUGGGCGUAAAGCGUGCGCAGGCGGUUUGCUAAGACCGAUGUGAAAUCCCCGGGCUCAACCUGGGAACUGCAUUGGUGACUGGCAGGCUAGAGUAUGGCAGAGGGGGGUAGAAUUCCACGUGUAGCAGUGAAAUGCGUAGAGAUGUGGAGGAAUACCGAUGGCGAAGGCAGCCCCCUGGGCCAAUACUGACGCUCAUGCACGAAAGCGUGGGGAGCAAACAGGAUUAGAUACCCUGGUAGUCCACGCCCUAAACGAUGCCAACUAGUUGUUGGGGAUUCAUUUCCUUAGUAACGUAGCUAACGCGUGAAGUUGACCGCCUGGGGAGUACGGUCGCAAGAUUAAAACUCAAAGGAAUUGACGGGG